CGGGGUCUCUCUCAUGGGUCGUCUUCUUCUAAUCCAACAUCUGAUGGGGAAAUGCCAAACUUAGAGAGCUCGUUUAAAACUGCUUGAAUCCGAGGAUCGCUGGGCUCUGUCUGAUGUGACCCUAAUCCAGCAUAUUCUUUCGCUACAACCUUCGUCUUCCUUGAUGAGAGGAAAGCAGUCUCCAAAUCUGACUGUGAUAGUGGCCUCGGAGAACUAGACUGUUUUCCAGUCUUUUCUUGAUCCAAUAGAUCCCUGAUUGGGUAAUAUGCAGCUUUCUUGCAGAGCUCGAGAAGAUCUGAACCAGUAUACCCCUCGCAUAAGCUAGCUAUGUGAUGAUAGUCAAUGUUGUCUUCGACCCUCUCACCCUUCAGAAUCACCUUUAGUAUCUCGACCCUCUCCCUUUUGUUGGGUAUCCCAAUUUCAAAAGCCUGAGGGAGUCUUCUUAGAAUUGCUUCAUCAAGUUCUGAUGGACGAUUGGUAGCAGCAAGGACCAUAACACGUGCGUUCUGAUCUGUAGUAAAUCCAUCCCAUAAGGCCAUGAACUCAGUUUUCAUGUUUGAUAAAGCUUCAUGAUCACUAG
RNAcentral lists this unclassified non-coding RNA (580 nucleotides) under Hevea brasiliensis (rubber tree). Lineage: Eukaryota; Viridiplantae; Streptophyta; Magnoliopsida; Malpighiales; Euphorbiaceae. The record is from RNAcentral.